UUACAGGGCGCUCUUUAUUUAUCGCGAGCUCUGUCUUUUAGGGUUUAUUUGUGAAGGGCCCUGUCUUACAGAUAGUUUACAGGUCGGCUCAGUAUUCGGGUGCAUGAAGAGGGAAAAAAGCCUUGAAAGUGCCGUUUUUUUUUGCAUGGCAAGCUGCUGAAUACGAACCAGUCUCACACCAUUGCCAUCACCUUGCCCUUGUGAAGGCAGAUAUGGAUAAAGUUUUCAAAGCUGAUAGAAAAUUGAAAGCACUCGCAUCCUGUGACAAUGAUUCUGAUGUCGGUAACUGGAAAGCCUCCAUUGUUGGAGGACGAGAAGCCAUAUCCAAUUGAAGCAGCAUAGGCUUUUGCGAUGACUGUGGAAACCACUGCUUAUGCCUUGCUUCAAGCAUUGUCAAGGAAUGAUACUGACUAUGCAACACCGAUUGCGAGGUGGCUAACGAUGCAACAGAACU
Stegostoma tigrinum is the source of this 454-nucleotide long non-coding RNA. RefSeq lists it as uncharacterized. Lineage: Eukaryota; Metazoa; Chordata; Chondrichthyes; Orectolobiformes; Stegostomatidae. The transcript has 3 exons. The record is from RefSeq and is a predicted model, not a curated record.